UUAAAUCAGUCGUGGUCUACGUGGUCGUGCGGCGACGAGAGUCGUCAGAGGUGGAUAACCGUGGAAAAGCUAGAGCUAAUACAUGCAAGCGAGCGCCGACUUCGGGAGGCGUGCAUUUAUCAGACCGCGCGUCGGCCGAGCGCCGCGUCGAUGUUCGGGCCGCGAGGCCCGGCGUUAUCGGACGGCGCUCGUCGAUGGUGGUGACUCUGGAUAACUUAUCGUGCUGAUCGCCGGUCCCAUUGUAGAGACCGGGCGACGAACCACUCGAGCGUCUGACCUAUCAACUGUUGUCGGUAAGGUCUCGGCCUACCGAGGUGCUCACGGGUGACGGGGAAUCAGGGUUCGAUUCCGGAGAGGGAGCCCGAGAAACGGCUGCCACUUCCAAGGAAGGCAGCAGGCGCGCAAAUUACCCAUUUCAGA
Molecule: ribosomal RNA, 420 nt
Filed under: Didemnum vexillum
Lineage: Eukaryota; Metazoa; Chordata; Ascidiacea; Aplousobranchia; Didemnidae
Description: SSU rRNA
Rfam family: Eukaryotic small subunit ribosomal RNA
Source: RNAcentral